UACGAUCCCGUGCAAGGUUAAGUUUGAAAAGACGGAGCCGCAGCGAAAGCGAGUCUGAAUAGGGCGCAUGAGUACGUGGUCGUAGACCCGAAACCAGGUGAUCUACCCAUGUCCAGGGUGAAGUUCAGGUAACACUGAAUGGAGGCCCGAACCCACGCACGUUGAAAAGUGCGGGGAUGAGGUGUGGGUAGGGGUGAAAUGCCAAUCGAACCUGGAGAUAGCUGGUUCUCUCCGAAAUAGCUUUAGGGCUAGCCUCAAGGUAAGAGUCUUGGAGGUAGAGCACUGAUUGGACUAGGGGCCCCUACCGGGUUACCGAAUUCAGUCAAACUCCGAAUGCCAAAGACUUAUCCUUGGGAGUCAGACUGCGAGUGAUAAGAUCCGUAUUCGAAAUGGAAACAGCCCAGACCGCCAGCUAAG
This 417-nucleotide ribosomal RNA is filed under the name Bacillus licheniformis. RNAcentral's name for it is "bacterial LSU rRNA". It matches the Rfam family "Bacterial large subunit ribosomal RNA", at positions 629 to 1043 of the family's 2925-position model. The record is from RNAcentral. Lineage: Bacteria; Bacillati; Bacillota; Bacilli; Caryophanales; Bacillaceae.